This 231-nucleotide ribosomal RNA is filed under the name uncultured bacterium. Its description in RNAcentral is "partial 16S ribosomal RNA". It matches the Rfam family "Bacterial small subunit ribosomal RNA", at positions 99 to 334 of the family's 1533-position model. The record is from RNAcentral.
CGGACGGGUGAGUAAUGUCUGGGAAACUGCCCGAUGGAGGGGGAUAACUACUGGAAACGGUAGCUAAUACCGCAUAACGUCGCAAGACCAAAGAGGGGACCUUCGGGCCUCUUGCCAUCGGAUGUGCCCAGAUGGGAUUAGCUAGUAGGUGGGGUAACGGCUCACCCAGGCGACGAUCCCUAGCUGGUCUGAGAGGAUGACCAGCCACACUGGAACUGAGACACGGUCCAG